This 501-nucleotide ribosomal RNA is filed under the name bacterium enrichment culture clone ALO1_GLFRUDD03GP0IT. RNAcentral's name for it is "bacterial SSU rRNA". It matches the Rfam family "Bacterial small subunit ribosomal RNA", at positions 9 to 502 of the family's 1533-position model. The record is from RNAcentral.
GAGUUUGAUCUUGGCUCAGAUUGAACGCUGGCGGCAUGCCUUACACAUGCAAGUCGAACGGCAGCACGGGAGCUUGCUCCUGGUGGCGAGUGGCGAACGGGUGAGUAAUGCAUCGGAACGUAUCCUGGAGUGGGGGAUAACGUAGCGAAAGUUACGCUAAUACCGCAUAUUCUGUGAGCAGGAAAGCGGGGGACCUUCGGGCCUCGCGCUCUUGGAGCGGCCGAUGUCGGAUUAGCUAGUUGGUGAGGUAAAGGCUCACCAAGGCGACGAUCCGUAGCAGGUCUGAGAGGAUGAUCAGUCACACUGGAACUGAGACACGGUCCAGACUCCUACGGGAGGCAGCAGUGGGGAAUAUUGGACAAUGGGCGAAAGCCUGAUCCAGCCAUGCCGCGUGUGUGAAGAAGGUCUUCGGAUUGUAAAGCACUUUAAGUUGGGAGGAAGGGCAGUAAGUUAAGUACCUUGCUGUUUUGACGUUACCGACAGAAUAAGCACCGGCUAACU